RNAcentral lists this ribosomal RNA (253 nucleotides) under uncultured bacterium. RNAcentral's name for it is "partial 16S ribosomal RNA". It matches the Rfam family "Bacterial small subunit ribosomal RNA", at positions 524 to 776 of the family's 1533-position model. The record is from RNAcentral.
UACGUAGGGGGCAAGCGUUAUCCGGAUUUACUGGGUGUAAAGGGAGCGUAGGCGGUAAUGCAAGUCAGAAGUGAAAGCCCGGGGCUCAACUCCGGGACUGCUUUUGAAACUGUGUUGCUUGAUUGCAGGAGAGGUAAGUGGAAUUCCUAGUGUAGCGGUGAAAUGCGUAGAUAUUAGGAGGAACACCAGUGGCGAAGGCGGCUUACUGGACUGUAAAUGACGCUGAGGCUCGAAAGCGUGGGGAGCAAACAGG